This 67-nucleotide transfer RNA is filed under the name Coleoptera sp. ACP-2013. RNAcentral's name for it is "tRNA-Val". Lineage: Eukaryota; Metazoa; Arthropoda; Insecta; Coleoptera. The record is from RNAcentral.
AAAUUAGGUCUUGUUAAAGUAUUUUAUUUACAUUAAAAUUAAGUUGUUAAAAUCAAUAUAAUUUGAA